Molecule: long non-coding RNA, 451 nt
Organism: Gymnodraco acuticeps
Lineage: Eukaryota; Metazoa; Chordata; Actinopteri; Perciformes; Bathydraconidae
Exons: 3
Source: RefSeq, a predicted model, not a curated record
CCCAGCGGAGUGAAGAAAAUACAUGAACCUCACGGGACUCACUCCUCAGUUUAUACCGUGUUUUGUUUCAAUUAAUGUAUCAUUUAGUUACAAAUAUGUGAUCUGAACAAAAGUGGUCAAAAAUCAUUAUUGGAAACAUUUUCAUGAUCGCUUUUUUCGUUUUACAGUUUCAUUUAUUGUCAUUUCCAUUCAAUCACAGCUGAGGCAUGAAUCCUUGAUUUCACUCGGUUUAAAAGCCCUGCCUCCAGCAUGCAGCUGGCACAUUUGAAAGACAUGGCGGCAGAAAAACUACACAAGUGGACGGAGGCCCAAACCAGAGCCCUCAUUCAACAGAGGACUGACAAUGAGCACCUGUUUACAGGAAAGAGGUUCACAGCCAAGAAGGCCUGGGGAGAGGUUCUGCAGAAGAUGGAGUUGGAGGAGUUGCUCACUCCCACCCAACUGGCAAAAA